RNAcentral lists this ribosomal RNA (473 nucleotides) under uncultured bacterium. Its description in RNAcentral is "partial 16S ribosomal RNA". It matches the Rfam family "Bacterial small subunit ribosomal RNA", at positions 355 to 813 of the family's 1533-position model. The record is from RNAcentral.
UGGGGAAUUUUGGACAAUGGGCGAAAGCCUGAUCCAGCAAUGCCGCGUGUGUGAAGAAGGCCUUCGGGUUGUAAAGCACUUUUGUCCGGAAAGAAAUCCUUGGCUCUAAUACAGUCGGGGGAUGACGGUACCGGAAGAAUAAGCACCGGCUAACUACGUGCCAGCAGCCGCGGUAAUACGUAGGGUGCAAGCGUUAAUCGGAAUUACUGGGCGUAAAGCGUGCGCAGGCGGUUUGCUAAGACCGAUGUGAAAAUCCCCGGGCUCAAACCUGGGAACUGCAUUGGUGACUGGCAGGCUAGAGUAUGGCAGAGGGGGGUAGAAUUCCACGUGUAGCAGUGAAAAUGCGUAGAGAUGUGGAGGAAUACCGAUGGCGAAGGCAGCCCCCUGGGCCAAAUACUGACGCUCAUGCACGAAAAGCGUGGGGAGCAAAACAGGAUUAGAUACCCUGGUAGUCCACGCCCUAAAACGAUGUC